GGCGGUGUGGCUCAGCAGUAAGAGUGUUUGCCAAGCAAGCGAAAGACCCUGAGUUCAAACCCCAGUACUGCCA
Molecule: transfer RNA, 73 nt
Filed under: Dipodomys ordii (Ord's kangaroo rat)
Lineage: Eukaryota; Metazoa; Chordata; Mammalia; Rodentia; Heteromyidae
Rfam family: tRNA
About the family: Transfer RNA (tRNA) molecules are approximately 80 nucleotides in length. Their secondary structure includes four short double-helical elements and three loops (D, anti-codon, and T loops).
Source: Rfam by way of RNAcentral